CACAAGCAUUAGCCUUUCAAAAAGGGCUAAAUCGACUCUUAGCUGAUGAAAAUGGAAAGUGUUCUCGCUUUGUUGAUUUAUUCAUUUACUAGAAUAGCCACGUGCAUCAAUCAACAAAUUUUACCACACACGUGAGGUCACACGUUAUGAAGUAUCGUUUAACGUUGUUGUUUACGAAACUCCAGAAGAUUCGACUAUUUAUAGAUAAAAGUUACCUGUGUACCAAUAUCAUGUAUAUGCAUGAUUAAUGACCAGGC
This 257-nucleotide long non-coding RNA is filed under the name Mytilus galloprovincialis (Mediterranean mussel). The record is from RNAcentral. Lineage: Eukaryota; Metazoa; Mollusca; Bivalvia; Mytilida; Mytilidae.